This 21-nucleotide non-coding RNA is filed under the name Caenorhabditis elegans. The record is from RNAcentral. Lineage: Eukaryota; Metazoa; Nematoda; Chromadorea; Rhabditida; Rhabditidae.
UGAAUGCUUUCCAGCAAGAAU